UGGGGAAUAUUGGACAAUGGGGGGAACCCGUGAUCCAGCCAUGCCGCGUGUGUGAAGAAGGCCUUUUGGUUGUAAAGCACUUUAAGCGAGGAGGAGGCUACUCUAGUUAAUACCUAGGGAUAGUGGACGUUACUCGCGAAUAAGCACCGGCUAACUCUGUGCCAGCAGCCGCGGUAAUACAAGGGUGCGAGCGUUAAUCGGAUUUACUGGGCGUAAAGCGUGCGUAGGUGGCCAAUUAAGUCAAAUGUGAAAUCCCCGAGC
This 261-nucleotide ribosomal RNA is filed under the name uncultured Acinetobacter sp. RNAcentral describes it as "partial 16S ribosomal RNA". It matches the Rfam family "Bacterial small subunit ribosomal RNA", at positions 355 to 608 of the family's 1533-position model. Lineage: Bacteria; Pseudomonadati; Pseudomonadota; Gammaproteobacteria; Moraxellales; Moraxellaceae. The record is from RNAcentral.